UAGUUUAUGAGCUUGAAUUAAGCUUUUACUUUGAAAGUAAAGAAAAGAAGUAAAAUCUUCUAUUAACU
This 68-nucleotide transfer RNA is filed under the name Agrilinae sp. 2 ACP-2013. RNAcentral describes it as "tRNA-Ser". Lineage: Eukaryota; Metazoa; Arthropoda; Insecta; Coleoptera; Buprestidae. The record is from RNAcentral.